Molecule: transfer RNA, 73 nt
Filed under: Ictidomys tridecemlineatus (thirteen-lined ground squirrel)
Lineage: Eukaryota; Metazoa; Chordata; Mammalia; Rodentia; Sciuridae
Also listed under: 1 other name
Description: Spermophilus tridecemlineatus (thirteen-lined ground squirrel) tRNA
Rfam family: tRNA
About the family: Transfer RNA (tRNA) molecules are approximately 80 nucleotides in length. Their secondary structure includes four short double-helical elements and three loops (D, anti-codon, and T loops).
Source: Rfam by way of RNAcentral
GGGGCUGUAGCUCAGUGGUAGAGCACUCGCCUCACAUGUGGAAGGCAGGCACUGGGUUCGAUCCUCAGCACCA